CUCUCUGUAGUUCAGUUGGUUAAAGCGCUGCACCGGAAGCGCAGGUUCGAUUCCUGACAGAAGG
Molecule: non-coding RNA, 64 nt
Organism: Paramuricea clavata
Lineage: Eukaryota; Metazoa; Cnidaria; Anthozoa; Malacalcyonacea; Plexauridae
Source: the annotation of a GenBank genome assembly